GACGAACGCUGGCGGCGUGCUUAACACAUGCAAGUCGAACGGAAAGGCCCUGCUUUUGUGGGGUGCUCGAGUGGCGAACGGGUGAGUAACACGUGAGUAACCUGCCCUUGACUUUGGGAUAACUUCAGGAAACUGGGGCUAAUACCGGAUAGGAGCUCCUGCUGCAUGGUGGGGGUUGGAAAGUUUCGGCGGUUGGGGAUGGACUCGCGGCUUAUCAGCUUGUUGGUGGGGUAGUGGCUUACCAAGGUUUUGACGGGUAGCCGGCCUGAGAGGGUGAACGGCCACAUUGGGACUGAGAUACGGCCCAGACGCCUACGGGAGGCAGCAGUGGGGAAUAUUGCACAAUGGGCGGAAGCCUGAUGCAGCGACGCCGCGUGCGGGAUGACGGCCUUCGGGUUGUAAACCGCUUUCGCCUGUGACGAAGCGUGAGUGACGGUAAUGGGUAAAGAAGCACCGGCUAACUACGUG
Molecule: ribosomal RNA, 468 nt
Filed under: uncultured bacterium
Lineage: Bacteria
Description: partial 16S ribosomal RNA
Rfam family: Bacterial small subunit ribosomal RNA
Source: RNAcentral